Molecule: ribosomal RNA, 431 nt
Filed under: Clostridioides difficile
Lineage: Bacteria; Bacillati; Bacillota; Clostridia; Peptostreptococcales; Peptostreptococcaceae
Description: bacterial SSU rRNA
Rfam family: Bacterial small subunit ribosomal RNA
Source: RNAcentral
UUUUAUUUGAGAGUUUGAUCCUGGCUCAGGAUGAACGCUGGCGGCGUGCCUAACACAUGCAAGUUGAGCGAUUUACUUCGGUAAAGAGCGGCGGACGGGUGAGUAACGCGUGGGUAACCUACCCUGUACACACGGAUAACAUACCGAAAGGUAUGCUAAUACGGGAUAAUAUAUUUGAGAGGCAUCUCUUGAAUAUCAAAGGUGAGCCAGUACAGGAUGGACCCGCGUCUGAUUAGCUAGUUGGUAAGGUAACGGCUUACCAAGGCGACGAUCAGUAGCCGACCUGAGAGGGUGAUCGGCCACAUUGGAACUGAGACACGGUCCAAACUCCUACGGGAGGCAGCAGUGGGGAAUAUUGCACAAUGGGCGAAAGCCUGAUGCAGCAACGCCGCGUGAGUGAUGAAGGCUUUCGGGUCGUAAAACUCUGUCCU